Non-coding RNA from Chlorocebus sabaeus (green monkey), 10458 nucleotides. The record is from RefSeq and is a predicted model, not a curated record. NCBI's taxonomy places the organism in Eukaryota, Metazoa, Chordata, Mammalia, Primates, Cercopithecidae.
AGGAUGAGAUGGGAGGAUUGCUUGAGGCCAGGAGUUUGAGACCAGUCUGGACCACAGAUCAAGACCCUGUCGCUACUAAAAAAAAAAAGUGAAGGCCUACAGGGAAAGAAACAAUUACCCAGAAGGACACACCUGCUAGAAGGCCUGGCACUUAUUUGGGAGGAUGAACAGAAGUCAUCAGCCCAUGAGAUCUUCAGAGAGUCCAUGACGAUGUUGCACCCUGAGUCACAGGCUAAAUGUCUAGAACAGUCAGAUGCUUGCUGGGAACCCAGAUGAUGUUUCUAAGGAGGAUAUUCAUAUAGGAUAAAAUUUCAACAAAUUGCUUUCAGAAUUCAUGCAAGAAUCUCUCCAAAAAUUGUGCCAGCUGCUCUCUCGUGCUGUAGUAGUUGAAGUCCAGAGUUGAAUCCGCCCAUGUGCUGUGCUUCGGAUCAGAUCUAUAUGCUCUGUGCCUACUGCCUGGAAACAUCUGAGUUUGUGGCCUCUGCUGAAUACAAAUACAGAGACUCGGGUUAGCCCUAGUCAACAGCUUCUCCAUCAUCAGGAGUAUCUGGGAUACUGGCCAUAGAUUGAUGCUGUGAUGGACCACUCCAGGAGACUCGGAGCUUCUUUAGGCUAUGUCUUCCAGGCUUCAUGAAUACCAUGGAAUCCCUUGUACUAAGAUCUAAAGAAGUUUCAAGUGGUCAGCCCUCCAGAGGAGGUUCAUCCAUAUCUGAAUUCCAUUCCUUAUCAUCCCAGGAAAAGUUUGUAUCUUACCCCAAGGUAUUUACCUGUCUGUCGCAGGGGUAAUGAUUUAAAAAUGUAUCAGUUUGCUAUCUUUCUUCUUUUCUCUUUAUCAAUAGCUCUCAAGCUUAGCCUGUGCUAGGCAGCAUCUGUGGGAAUUGAGAGAAGAGCUGGGGAAUAGUAUCAGUUUGCUGCUUUUCUUCUUUUCUCUUUAUCAAUAGCUUUCAAGCUUAGCCCGUGCUAGGCAGCAUCUGUGGGAAUUGAGAGAAGGGCUGGGGAAUGGGAUAUUUUACAAAAGAAAAAUGCUAAGGAAAGAGAAGGACAUAGUCAGAUUUUGGUAUUCAAAAGCAGAUUAGUUCUUGAGACAAUAAAUAGGCUUGCAAACCAAGAUAUGGUACUGAAAGGAAGUUUCUAUUUCCUUCAUGCCCUCAGUUGAGAAUAUCAACAUCAUUCAAAUCAGACUGGAUGGAUCACGCAUCCUCCCAGGUGUGAAAAGGAUGCCCUGUCUGCUCACGCCAGCCUGUACCCUCUGAGAGGGGGAGAAGAGAGUGUAUAGGAGAAUUAAGAGAGCAUUGCCUCCAUUUGCUGGUCCUAUAAUAGUGUGGGAGAAUGGAGGCAUUGAGAUCUGUGCCACUCAUUUUUUCUUCUCUGGGUUUAGGCCUGGGGAGAAACAGACGUGUUGGGUGAAUGAAGAUAACACCAGAAGGAGUAGGGUCUGAUUGAUCCUUGUUUUCCUGUCACACAGCCAGAGGGUAUAAUAUUGAGUUGUUAGCACCGAGAAGUCAGAGGUUUAGCUUUUCUGGGAUGCCCUAAUUCCUUUGUCAGGAAGUCACUGAAUUGAGAGCCAGUGGGCCUGGGAAGAGGGCUGGUAGAGCAGUGCAAGGUGACCCUCCACUGAGGACGUGGCAAGAGACUUGUGGGUCUGCAGCCUGUAGGAGUCAAACGAUGGUGAGUCAGCAGAGAAACACUGUUUGGACCAGGAGGAUGAGUCUGAGUUACAUUCACUUUGGUGUGUAAGGCCAGCAGGACUCAGGCACCCCAGGAAGACUCAGGCCAUUGUCCUAGGUCAGCCAAUGCACACAGUAUCCCAGUACAAGGUCAGUGGACCCCUUGUUCUCACUGAGAACUCUCAUACACUAGAAUGCCAAGUUAGAGAGAGAGGCAGAGGCAACCUGGGAUCCUGAGCAUCCUUUCUUAGAGAGACUGAACACUGUUUUAAGGAGCCAUUAAAAUUACUGACUCAGAUUAUAUCUAAAGCAAAUUGAACAGAAGUUAGGAACUUGCAAGAAAUAUGUUAAUCAUAGACUAUAUGGACAAUGUUUCAUCCACUUUGCAAAUGUGAGUUAAAGUGUGAAUUAAAAUUUUUUGACUCUGCUCCAUGUAUAGGCAGAUGGAAAGAAUCUGAUCCUUCCUCAAAGAAGUCAGAAAAUUUUUAGGUAGGGGAAUUAUAUGAACCUUCCAAGUCAGAAGACUGUCAUUAAGAAAAUUAUCUCUUUUAUUUAGUCCACAAAAUGGUACAAGCCAGUCAUGAAAUGUUUCAGCACUUUAUAAAACCAGCCUCUGCCUCUUCAUCCUCCUCUUUUAUUUAAAUCACAAAAUUAAUGGAUUCCUUUAUUUUUGCUUACUUACCAUAUACCUUUGCUUCCUUCUGUAUUCCUUUCCCUUCUUCCUAUAAAACGUCUUUCAAAUAGCUUCCAUGUCGGUAUAUUUUCAGACAUCUUACAUAUCUGAAAAUGCCUUUAUUGUAUCUUCACUGUUAAAUGCUAGCAUUAUAAGAUCUAAUACUCCGGGGUUAAUGAACUUUGUUUUCAGCAGUUUGAAGGUAGUAGCACAUUGUAUUCAUUUAUCCUGUGCAGCUGAGAAGUCUCACAUAAAUUUCAGAAUUUUCUUGAAGGGGAUUUUCUUCUCUUGUGCCCUUCAGAAGGCUUUGUCUUUAAAACUUUUUUUUAAUCAUAAUGAGUCUCAGAAAUGACUUUGUUCUCUCAAGCCUCCUUGCUGUCUAAACUUUUUCAGUCUGCAGUCCUGGGUCUUUCUUUAGUUCUGAGAAACCCUCAUUAGCCAUUUCUUCACAUAAUUUCUCCUUUCUCUUAUUUUCUCUUUUGUGGACUCUUCUGUUCUUUAUAUCACUUAUUCAUAUUUUUUUCUCUUUGAAUAUCUUUGUCCUUUCUGACGUUUUCUGGGAGAGUUCCUCAACCCAAUCAUUCUGCCCACCAAUUUAUCAUUUAACUUUGUCCACUGUGCUGUUAAUUUCUUCUAUUGAGUUUUUAUUUCAAUGCAAUAUUUCAUAUCGAAUUUUUCAGACUGUUUUUAUUUUAUCAUUUAUCUGGUUCCUGCUUUAUGUGUCCAGCAUUUUGCUUGUUUUGUGUUCUGACAGUUGUGUAUAUUAUUCUACUUGUUUUAAAUUCCUGUUGCAUUAUUCUUUUAUAUAUAUAUUUUGUUCUGUUAGUUGACUUGUGCUUUAUAAAUAGUCUGAUUUGGCCUGAUUGUCUUGCCGCCUUCUGCUCAGGACUGUGGCCCCACAGGCUAAGAAUUUCACUCCGUUGUGGGCUCGCUGGUCCCAGUGCACAGAAUGGGAGAUUAGGCACUAAGACAUUCAAGUGGAGUCUCCUGUUGUUGGUGGAUAGUCCCACUGAGAACACGUUUACCUGCUACACACCUGGUCUGUCAGAAAUGACCAGGGUAUGGCUAAUUUAGUGUGAAGUUCUUUUGAGUUAGAAAAAAUAAAUUUAGAACAUGGUUGCUUUGCUAAUUCCCAUGGAAGAGUUGUUUGUAGGGUGGAAUAUGCAGCAUUAGUACAAUGAAGGAAAAUAACUGUAAAAUCAAAAAGUAAGCCAAAGCUAAUAUUUUCAAUAAGAUGAAUAAACAAAAAGCUUUGAAGCUGAAAUACUUAUGGAUAUUAAAAUGCAAUUUCAUGAAAAGUCUAGAUCUCUAGCUCCAGCUCUUUAUCAAAUAGCUUAAGGAAAAAUACAUACAUUUUAAGUCUGUCACUGCUUUUGCUUCAUAGCUUGUCAGUUUCAUCAACCAAACUGAAACAAAUUUUCUAGAAAACCAUUAUGAACCCAAAGUCAAUAUUCAGUGUCAUCAUUAUCUUCUCUGUCAUCUUCUGCUGAUUAAUUCAGAUACUUUUUCCAAUAAGCCAUGGAUUAAUAUUUUAGUGCAAAUUCUCUUCAAUUACAUCAAAGAGAAAAGCAGGGGGAAAAACAUAUGGGUUAACUGCAGCAAGGGAUCAAUAAUUCUAUCAGUUCUUUUCUGUCAAUUUGAAUGUCUCCCUUCACUUUUUUUUCCCUAUAAUUUUCCUUUUUUCCUAAUUUAUGCUUCACUUUUAAAUAUCUGGCAUUCUUUUCUUUCUUUUCUUAUAGGGUUCUCUUCUAAUACUCCAUCUUCUAUAUACCUACUUUGUAUACCUACUUUAGGAAGAAUUAUUUAAAGUAUUAGUGUAAACUGAGAGAAGACAUAAAGCAAAUAAUUGUUUUAAUAUUAAACAACAUUUUUAUGUAAAUAAAAUGAGUUUAUUCCUGUGCUACUAAAAAUAUUAGGAAUUAAAAGCUCAGUGGAUAUCUACAUUAAAAUCUGAAGAGACCAGAACUGCAUAUAGAGUCAUUAAAAUUAAUAUCCCCAGUUUGAAUUUGAGUGGUAAUUUAAAAUCAUGUUUACCUGUUUGUACACUUUUCUUUCCAAAUAGAAGGUGAAUAGUAUGUUGUCAAAACUGUCUUUUUCAUCUUUAUAUCAUAGGAUUUAAAAGAGUUCCUGACACCUAGCAGAGGUUCAGUACUAUGUUUAAGAUGAAUUAAUGAAUGAAGACAUGGGUUUAGCCAACAAUAUCAUGGCUAACUACGACCUGCCAUAGACUAUCAUUGCGACAUUGUUGUCAAAGUAACAGAACAGACUUUGAAGUUAGAUGCCUUGAGUUUAAAUCCUGGGAUUUUGAUUAACUAGAUGUGUUACUCAUCAAUUGCUGCAUAACAAGUUACCCCAAAUCUUAGUGGCUUAAAACAAUAUUUAUCCCACAGUAAUUUUUUGUGGGUUAAGAAUCCUGGUACAGCUUAUCUGGAUCCUGUCUUAGGCUCUCUCAUAGGCAGGAAUCAACGUGUUAGCCUGAGCUGUCUUCAUCUUAAGAUUCAACUGAAGGUAGAUUUGUUUCCAAGCUCAUUCAUGGUUGUUGACAAGAUUCAGCUUUUUUUUUUGUGUGUGUGUGAGCUGUUGAUUUGAGGGCUUCAUUUUCUUGCUGGCUCUUGGCCAGAUGCCACCUUCAAUUCCAUGCCACAUGCACCUUUCCAUAAAGCAGCUCCCAUUAUGGCAGCUGUCUUCACUGCGGUGAUCAAGCUGGAAGAACUAGAGUAUGAACAAGCUGGAAGUCAGUCUUGUGUAACCUGAUCUCGGAAGUGACAUCCCACUACUUUUGUUGUAUUCUAUUUGUUAGAAGUCAGUCACUAGUUAGAAUGAUAUGGUUUGGCUGUGUCCCCACCUGAAAUCUCAUCUUGAGUUGUAAUCCCUAUAAUCUCCACAUGUCAAGGGAGAGACCAGGUGGAGGUAAUUCAAUCAUGGGCGUGGUUUCCCCUGUGCUGGUGUGAUAGUGAGUGAGUUCUCACGAGAUCUUGUGGUUUUAUAAGGGGCUCUUCCUCCUUCAUGCACCAUGCUCUUUGUUGCCUGCUGCCAUGUAGUAUCUGCCUGUUCUGCCAUGGUUGUAAGUUUCCUGAAGCCUCCUGAGCCCUGCGGAACUGUGAGUCAAUGAAACCUCUUUUCUUUAUAAAUUACCCAGUCGUGGGCAGUUCUUUGUAGUAGUAUGAGAACGGACUAAUACAUUAGUAAAUGUGAAUACCAGGAGGCAGGGAUCGUUGGGGGCUACUUUAGAAGGCUGCCUACCACAAUAGCCAUAUAACCUUGAAAAUUUGCUUAAGCUGUUUUGCUCGGUGUCCUUACCUGUGAAACAGGAAUACUAAUAGAACCCACCUGUUAGGGCUGCUGUGCUAACCAUACUAAGAAUGUAUACGCUAGUGAUAAGCAAAGUGCUACACACAGAGCAAAAUUCAGUAUAAUAAUACUGUGCUAUUAAACCUGUUACUUUUUAGCGAUGUUACCUCUUUUGUAGGUUGAUUCUUUCUUCAUAAAGUGAGAAUUGGAUGAUCUCUGAGUUUCCUUGUAAGCCUGAGGAAUUUACUGAUUUUCUAGCCCUAGGAAUCUAUAAACUUCUUCAUUUUCAAAAAUCUAAACUUUUUUGGACCCCACAUUAGCGUUUUUUCCCCUCACUCUUGUAAUACCUCAUUAGGAUCACAUAGAAAAAAACUGGUAUUUCUGAAGGAGCAAUCCUAUUAAUGUUUGGGACAAAUCAACUGUUGCAGGGGCCCUGCCCUGAGAGCCAAAGGUUUAUGAAUUUUAGUCCCCACUCUGCCUGUUGAAACAAGUUCUUUAACCUCUCCUGUCUCAGUUUGUAUAAUUCAUGGAGGGUGAGUUGGGCUGGAUGAGAUAGCGUUCCUUCUAGCUUUAACAGUCUUUGGACCUGAUUUCCAUUGGCUGCAUAUAUUAGUUUUCAAUUCUCCUUUCCAUGUGUUCCAUAUGUAGUUACUUAGGGCCAAUUUCCUCAGAUUAGUAUUCAGGCAUUUUUAGAACAGUCUCAAUUUCACAAAGAUUAUAGGAUAUAAUUAUAGUUUAUAUGAUUUUAGGAACUAUUACAAGGUAAAGAAAAAUUAUUGUGAUAAUCAGUAAACCUCUAAGAUAUUCUUACAAAGGCCAUUUUUAGAAAAUCACAGCAAAUGAAGUCAGGUGAUUUUAUUUGUAUGCAGCAGGUGAAAAAAAUGCUCCCAAAUGAGGAAAAAUAUUUUGGGACUUUUGGGUUGACUAGAAUUCAAAGUAAAAAAAAUAAAAAAACGGAUUAUUUUCUGUAAUGAUUCAACUCAUUGGAAGUUCUUGAGGUGUCAGUUAUGCCUUCUUAGAAAUAGCUCUAGACAUUUACAAGUUGUUACAAUAAGAUAAGGAAAUGAAUUAAAAAACCUACCAGAUCUUGUGCGUCCAGAGAGGUUCAAUCUCUUCCAAACAAUCAAUUUCUUAGGAUGCUAUUAUUGUUUAAUAUCUUUGAAAUUCCUUUCCUGAAACUACCUGUAGAAUCUGAGGCAUAUGCUUUUGAACAUGCUCACUGAUGAAAACUCUUUUGUCUGUUUCCUGAAAUCAAAUCCACAGUCAAAAAUCAUUUAGAAGUAAGAACAGUAGGUUAAAGGACAGAUCAAACUGGAUAAUACUUUUCAGUGUAUAAAACAGGGAACAACAGCAAGAUGAGAGUGAUUUUCUUACAUUGAGAACUAGCUCCAAAGGUGGUUCAAAAGAGGACUCCUUAAAUUGUUUACAAUGAGGAGUCUACAUAAAACAAAACCAAAAACUCUUUCUGUGUCUUUUGUCAUGUUAAGAGUCACAAACUUACAUGACACUGUUUACCAAUGAAACCUGCAUAUGUACCCCUGAACUUACAAGUUAAAAAAAGAAAAGUCUUACAGUUUGCAGGAUGUGUUACUUGAUUUGAACCUGAAGCAUCUUGGUAGUCAAUUCAAAUUCUGGUUCUACCACUUAGGAGCUGUGUGACAUCGGGAAAGACCUGGUUUCCCAGAGCUUUAUUUUCACUUAUAAUGUGGGAAAUAAUAUGUCACACAGAUGAGAUGAGUGUUAAGUGAGGAUGUGUGAAUAUAUCUCACAAACUGUAAUGGGUGAUACCUAUGAUAGUUAUUAAUGCCAUUUUAUGCAUAAUUUCUUAUCUAAAUUUAAUUAAACUAUAAGCUCAUAAAAUAUUCCUAUAAAACAUGAUAGGAAAAAUAAGGGUGACAUUUUCAGGAUACUUACUGCCAAUCAGGCACCCUACUAAGCUCUUUAUAAUUUUUUACAAGCUCUUCAUAAAUUAUAUCGCAAUUUACUUGUAUAAUUUUAAAUUUAGUCAUGAACAUUCUGAGUUUCCAUUGUAUAGGUGAGAAAACUAAGGUUUAGAGAGUUUAAUUUUGCCAGAGUUAUGAAACUAGCAAAUGAGGGAGCUGAGGUUCAGGUCCAGAUCUGAAUGACUCCCAAACCAAUGUUUUAAAAGCCCUAUGAUACACUGCUUCCAUUUCUGGCAACCAUGUGAAGAGAAAAGGGAUGUACAAGAUUUUGUUAUAUUGCAUCAGUAAUUACCAGAUUUAGUUGCAUAUGAGAAUUACCCUGAAUGUUUAAAAACCAUUGCAACAUCCAGGGCACACCAUAAAUCAAUUAAAUUCCUUGAAGGUUGAAUCCAAACAUUAGCCUUAAGCAAAACAAAAACUGUUCAGGUGAUUCCAACAUACAGCCAAGUUUGAGACUCCAAGUAUUAAGGUCAGUCCCUGAGGCUGACUAGGAUAGUUGUGAUGACUGUGGACUUGGGAGUAAGAUGAUUCUAACUCUUGUUUGACUGCUUGGGAGUUGCACGGUUACGGACAGGCUACUGCCCUUCUCUAAACCUCAAACGAUACUGAAAACAUGUUUGUGGGUAAAAUCAAAUAACCCAAGAAAUGUUCCAGCACACUGCCUGGACCUACAAAGAAGUGCUUGGUGGUAGAAAUACUUUGUAUCUCAAGCUCAUUCUUUGCACAGAUUUUUGGUUGCUUCAUGAAACUUUUAAGCAAGUGAUCUUCUGCCCCUGAAUGAAAGCAAGAGGCUACCAUUGGCUCCUAAAGUCUCUUUUGAAUAAUAAUUUUAUGCCAUUUUUAUUUGGGACGUGUAUUUCUAUAAGUGGUUGACAAUAUUUAGGAACAGAAGCAAUGAAUUGCUUAUCCUGGGAGGUAACCCAAGUCACUUGGUAAUGAGAAUAGUUAUUUGAUGAUUUGACAGUUAAUAUUGGUGUUGUGGAAAUGGCCAUGUACAUAUAUUUAUAGACGUGUUUUUUGUUUUUUGUUUGGUAGAUGUCACCCUUUCUCCUUAUAGCUUGUUUACUUUUCUCACACAGGUGUAGGCAGGCAGCAGGGUCGUUUGAAUUAGUCUUUCAAGUGAGUGUUUAAUGAAGAUGAGUAAUUGCUUGCAGCUGCAUGUAUCUGUAGGGAUUUGUUUUUCUUUUAGUAGAGAACAAGAUAAUUUGCCAGACAACUUUGGAAAGGGUGAUCUUGGUUGUCCCCACAUACUUGAGAGUGACUGCCUCUUGCACCAAAAUGCCAUGAAACUUCCUGCCUCCCUCCAGAAGACACGCCUCCUAGCUGGGGGACAGGCAGCUCAUUUUAUCUUGGAGAAGGUUUCUCCCUUCAAUAUAAAAGGUAAUCAAUGUGGUUUCAAGUGAAGAUUGUAAACGUGAAUGACUCCUUGAGGGUGUGGCACUAUGGCCUGAUCAAUCCCAGAUUUGUUUCCACUUUACCCCUAAUUAAGACUGAAGUUUGAACUGCUGGCAUGGCUGAACGUAGAUUCUGAGAUUUUUUUCACUUAGAAACAGAAUUUUCUAGACUUGAUCUAUGCAGAGACUUGUAGGGGAAAGAACAGGAUUGGCAUCAAAGAUAGGGGUUUAGAAGUCAUAAGUCGGACAUAAGAGAGGCAACCAAGGAACCACAGAGUUGAGUGACUGGACCAAGACCCUUAACCAGUGGCAGGGCUGGGUUCUAAAUGUGUAUCUGAGAUCCUCCAAAGCGUGUUCUUCACUUCACACAAUUCCCUGAAUAUCCUCACCUGUGAGGAGGCAGAAUCAUCCCCUCAUCCCUCAAUGUCUGAAAACCCAUGUACACAUCUUACACAAUGGGUGUAUUCUUGAAGAGUUGUGAGAAAAGUUGCUUUUGUAAAUCAAAUCACAUACCAUGUUUACAAGGAAUAUUAAUAUUUGAAAGGAAUUCAAUCUUAAAUCUUUUUUGAAUUCUUGGUAAAUAUAGGUAUUAUUCAAAGUGAGGCUUCAGUAUAGUUAUAAUCAUCAAACUACUAGCAAAUGUUAUUUUAACAUGUUAGUCCAUAAUAGUCCAAGAUGGAUUAAUUUUUAUUACAAAGUAUGAUUCUUGAUUUUUUUUUUUUUUUUGGUGAAGUUGCGUUUGAUGAGGAAGUGCUAUCAAAUUACAAAAGGAGAAUUGACCAAGCAGGAGAGUUGAGCUCUAUCAAGCCAGCUACUUGUUUUAUCCACUAGAGGGUAGCAUUGGCAUUGGAAUGACACGUAGACAUUUACAGUUCUUCAAAUUGAAAGCGCUGCUUGUGAAAUGCAGACUAUGCCAAAUCUACAAUAUAUUAAAUGAUUUGAUAAAAAAUUAGAUAUCACAGAAAACACCAAGUGAUUGUAAUUGGAUUCUUCUGUAUUACUGGGCAAUGUACACCCUGAAGGACAUUUUUAAGGCCCUGUACCUGUGUCUCCUGGCAGGGGUUACUUCCGGCCUCAAGCCAACCACGUGCCAUUUGGGACUAAGACCUUUCCUUCUCACCUUUCCACCUCAAUUCGUGCUUCACUUCUCCAUUUGCAAAUUGUCAGCAUGCUGGGGAAUCUGUGAAUUACCUUCCCUUUCCUUCAACCUGCAACCAUGCUUACCACAGAAGUUGAUUCUCUUGAGGAAUUCAACACUUGUGACAGGCAUUUCUGCUUAUCCUCAUUAGAAUGCUGUGAGGGGCCUGAGGACUGCCGUCCUCAUGCCCUUUAACAUAGGAAGACAGAGUCCUCAUGUCAUUUCACAUCACCCUUCUGCUUGGUAGUGGAGCUGGGAUUAGAUUCUGGUUGUGUUUUGUGUAACUCAGCACUGACUUGAGUGGUUUCCAGUACUUAGCAGGGACUUCCUAGGUAUAUGACUUUUUUUUUUU